UUCCGAGAGCUUGGAAGCGCCGAGAGCCCGGGCCGGGGAGGUGCGGGAGAGGGGGGAGCCGAGCCCGAGCGGGGGGCGGCCGGGAAACCGAGAGCUCGCCCCCGGCCCCCCCAGCUCGCUCUCGCAGCGAAAUCCCAGAGUCGGGCGCCCGCCUCGAGCGGAGACAAAGAGCCGCGGAGCGGGCGGCAAAGUCGUCGGAGGCCGGGCGGCGGGCGCGAGCUUUGUGCGCCUAGGGCUCGGCGGGCUUCGGCCGGCCGCCUUCCCGGGGCUGCGUCGAGCGCGUCAGGGCCGGGGGCUGCGCGGACAUCGUCGGCUCCCCGGCGAGUCCGGCGCGGGGUCCCGAGGCCGGGGGCCCCUCCGGAUCACUCAGCAGCGCGUCGCGCCGGGGCUGCCCCAAGCAUCCGGGGCGCGCGAGUCCGACCCCCAGAGCAGCUGGGCCCGCGGCUCGCGGCGAGAAGAGAAGACAGGCGCCGAGCUGGAAGCUCGGGGCCGCAGGAGCGCCGGAGAGUGAGGGCUGGAGCCCGCCGCGGGCGCUUCGACGCCCCCCCUCGGAGAGGAGAGCCUGCUGUUCCGUCUGCUACCGCCGCCGCCGCCGCCGCCGCCGCAAGCCCUUCCCAGGGCCGGGGAGGAACUCCGGGCUCAGUAGGUGCAAAUCAACCUCCCUGGCAUCCUAACUCCAGCGGGCACCGGAAGCUUCUCCGUGAACGGGUCCUCGCCGCUCCCGGCUGGAGCGCCGCGUUCCCCACGAGGAGCGCUCGGCGCCACCGCCGCGGCCGCCUCGGAGCGCGCCGGCAGAAGAGCGCUGGAGGGGAGACGCAGCCGGGAGCCGGGGAAGUUCUUGGGGUUUUCUUCCUUUCCCCUUGGGCCGGGGUUCUCCGGGCCCCGAAAAAACCCCCAAAAAAAAAAAAUUUUUUUUCAACCAAAGGGGGGGGGGGGGGGGGGGGGAUAAAAAAAAAAAAAAAAAAAACCCCCCCCCAAAAAAAGUGCCCGGGACCUGCGGAUACCACACACAGACAGGCGAGGGGGACGAGCACGAGGUCUGAACUGCCGCGAGAGCAGUUCCAAAUAGGGACUGAAAAGUAA
RNAcentral lists this long non-coding RNA (1083 nucleotides) under Oryctolagus cuniculus (rabbit). RNAcentral describes it as "lncRNA (ENSOCUG00000031978.1)". The record is from RNAcentral. Lineage: Eukaryota; Metazoa; Chordata; Mammalia; Lagomorpha; Leporidae.